UCCCAGGUGGUCUAGUGGUUAGGAUUCGGCACUUUCACUGCCGUGGCCCAGGUUCAAUCCCUGGUCAGGGAA
RNAcentral lists this transfer RNA (72 nucleotides) under Tursiops truncatus (common bottlenose dolphin). RNAcentral describes it as "tRNA-Glu (TTC) (tRNA-Glu-TTC-16-1)". It matches the Rfam family "tRNA". Rfam says of the family: Transfer RNA (tRNA) molecules are approximately 80 nucleotides in length. Their secondary structure includes four short double-helical elements and three loops (D, anti-codon, and T loops). Further hydrogen bonds mediate the characteristic L-shaped molecular structure. tRNAs have two regions of fundamental functional importance: the anti-codon, which is responsible for specific mRNA codon recognition, and the 3' end, to which the tRNAs corresponding amino acid is attached (by aminoacyl-tRNA synthetases). tRNAs cope with the degeneracy of the genetic code in two manners: having more than one tRNA (with a specific anti-codon) for a particular amino acid; and 'wobble' base-pairing, i.e. permitting non-standard base-pairing at the 3rd anti-codon position. Lineage: Eukaryota; Metazoa; Chordata; Mammalia; Artiodactyla; Delphinidae. The record is from Rfam by way of RNAcentral. RNAcentral also lists the same sequence under 1 other name.